RNAcentral lists this transfer RNA (73 nucleotides) under Gemmatimonadaceae bacterium. Its description in RNAcentral is "tRNA-Asn". It matches the Rfam family "tRNA". From Rfam's summary of the family: Transfer RNA (tRNA) molecules are approximately 80 nucleotides in length. Their secondary structure includes four short double-helical elements and three loops (D, anti-codon, and T loops). Lineage: Bacteria; Pseudomonadati; Gemmatimonadota; Gemmatimonadia; Gemmatimonadales; Gemmatimonadaceae. The record is from RNAcentral. RNAcentral also lists the same sequence under 3 other names.
UGGGGUGUAGCUCAGCUGGCAGAGCGCCUGACUGUUAAUCAGGAAGUCGCUGGUUCGAAUCCAGCCGCCCCAG